This 551-nucleotide ribosomal RNA is filed under the name Chromobacterium sp. keralian II. RNAcentral describes it as "bacterial SSU rRNA". It matches the Rfam family "Bacterial small subunit ribosomal RNA", at positions 372 to 917 of the family's 1533-position model. Lineage: Bacteria; Pseudomonadati; Pseudomonadota; Betaproteobacteria; Neisseriales; Chromobacteriaceae. The record is from RNAcentral.
GGGGCGCAGCCUGAUCCAGCCAUGCCGCGUGUCUGAAGAAGGCCUUCGGGUUGUAAAGGACUUUUGUUCGGGAGGAAAUCCCGCUGGUUAAUACCUGGCGGGGAUGACAGUACCGGAAGAAUAAGCACCGGCUAACUACGUGCCAGCAGCCGCGGUAAUACGUAGGGUGCAAGCGUUAAUCGGAAUUACUGGGCGUAAAGCGUGCGCAGGCGGUUGUGCAAGUCUGAUGUGAAAGCCCCGGGCUCAACCUGGGAACGGCAUUGGAGACUGCACGACUAGAGUGCGUCAGAGGGGGGUAGAAUUCCGCGUGUAGCAGUGAAAUGCGUAGAGAUGCGGAGGAAUACCGAUGGCGAAGGCAGCCCCCUGGGAUGACACUGACGCUCAUGCACGAAAGCGUGGGGAGCAAACAGGAUUAGAUACCCUGGUAGUCCACGCCCUAAACGAUGUCAACUAGCUGUUGGGGGUUUGAAUCCUUGGUAGCGUAGCUAACGCGUGAAGUUGACCGCCUGGGGAGUACGGCCGCAAGGUUAAAACUCAAAUGAAUUGACAGA